This 117-nucleotide ribosomal RNA is filed under the name Sinocyclocheilus rhinocerous. Lineage: Eukaryota; Metazoa; Chordata; Actinopteri; Cypriniformes; Cyprinidae. The record is from RNAcentral.
GCCAGCAGCCAUAUCACCCUGUAGCCCAAGACUGGUUGUCCACUGAAGCUAAGCAGGGCUGAGCCUGGUCAGUACCUGGAUGGGAGACCUCCUGGGAAAACUAGGUUCCUGCAUCCA